GCAGCCGCCGCGGUAAUACGGAGGAUCCAAGCGUUAUCCGGAAUCAUUGGGUUUAAAGGGUCCGUAGGCGGUCUUGUAAGUCAGUGGUGAAAGCCCAUCGCUCAACGGUGGAACGGCCAUUGAUACUGCAGGACUUGAAUUAUUGGGAAGUAACUAGAAUAUGUAGUGUAGCGGUGAAAUGCUUAGAGAUUACAUGGAAUACCAAUUGCGAAGGCAGGUUACUACCAAUUGAUUGACGCUGAUGGACGAAAGCGUGGGUAGCGAACAGGAUUAGAUACCCCUGUAGUCCCUGUCUCUUAUAC
RNAcentral lists this ribosomal RNA (302 nucleotides) under uncultured bacterium. RNAcentral's name for it is "partial 16S ribosomal RNA". It matches the Rfam family "Bacterial small subunit ribosomal RNA", at positions 508 to 807 of the family's 1533-position model. The record is from RNAcentral.